GCUGAUGCCAUGGCACUCUAGCCCAGGCAACAGAGUGAGACUCUGCCUCAAAAUAAUAAAUAAAUACUUGGCCCGUGGUUUGUGAUUAAGAGUAAGCUCCAUGGAGUGUGAUUAAUCCAUUAAAUGGAUUAUAUUGUAUAUAAUCCACUAUAUUGUAAUGGAAAAAAUUCAGGAUUAGGAGGCAAGCAAUUUGGACUCCAAUCCUGAUGCUGCUACUGUGUAAGAAGUUUUGUAACCUAUGGGCAAAUCAUUUAACUUCUCUAAGCUUUCUCAUCUAUAAAGUUAGGAAGGGGAAUGAAUUAGUUGAUCUGUAAAAUAUCAGCUCUAAAAUUUUAUAACUAAAAAUUUUCAGAAUUUGUGCCCAAUUGCUAAACAAAUAGUGUGCCCAGAAUUUCUUUCUAGUGACUACCUUAACAUACAGGCCAAGUGUUGCCUACACCAACACCUAAGCCAUUAAUUUGAGGUGCCAUGAGAAUAGAAGGUGAACCUCAGGAUGACACCCUUUUAGGUUUCGUUCGUUUUUUUUUGUCUGUUUUUUUUCAGACUUGCCUCAAUUUAAAUCUCUAGAUUAGAGAGAUUUUUCUUAGACUUCAUUUUUUGUGGGGAAGGAUUAUUUGGGGGAUGUUUAAGAAAAAAUUAUGGCAGAGUACCGUUACCUUCAGUAGGGUAUAAAAGAAUGGGAUACACUUUUCCUUUCUUCCUUAAUCUCUGAAGUCACGGUUAAAAUGACAUACAAUGUAUCAGGUACUGGAAAGGACCUGAAUUUCAAGUCUCUGAUUUAGCUGUGUGUAAACUGCCAAUUUUUGCUUGACUAAAGAAUGCCAAUCGUUUUUGGGGAGUCUGAUCUGCUAAUAUAAGACAGUGCUUUUUACAUUCCAGAUUCUUUGAAUUAAACUGUUUAAAGAAUGUAUAUGGA
Microcebus murinus (gray mouse lemur) is the source of this 916-nucleotide non-coding RNA. The record is from RefSeq and is a predicted model, not a curated record. NCBI's taxonomy places the organism in Eukaryota, Metazoa, Chordata, Mammalia, Primates, Cheirogaleidae.